AAAUUUGCAUAAUUUUUUUUAGAAUUCACCAUCGGCAAUGACAAGCAGGCGAGUCGAUCUACAGCGACGACAUUUGUUGGUGAGAACUUGGAAAAUUUUAAUUUAUUUCUCAUAUUAUGGACAAUUAAUUUUUUUUAAGGUGAUGAUUUCUAUAUCUUUACAGAAGUGGAAAUGCAGGGGAUUGAAGUGGAAGUCUUCUCUAUUUCACGCUCUAUCCAUCGAAAAUAGAGACGCAUAGAGACACAUUUUCCUAGGUAAAUUUGAGUUUUCAGCCCUGAUUUCUAAUUUUUUUUAUUGUAAAUGUAAAUUUCUACGAUUUAAGAUGUGUGAAUCAAUUGUUGAAGAUUGUUCAAUAUUUUGUAUUUUUUUGGAAGCUUCAGUAUUUUGUAGUGUUUUUUUUUUUUUUUAGGAACAGUAUUUUGUAGUUUUAAGUAUUCAUAUCCUCACACUUUUGACGUCGUUGGCGUUGCCGCUCCACCCAAUUUUGUCAAGCACGUUACCGAGUCACAUAACCUCGUCGCCACCACUGUAACAGUCCAGUGCCUAAAAGAGCAGUUUAACCGUCACUAUCGGCCGGAAUAACCACCCUUGCCUUUGUCUCACCGAACAACCCAGCAACCACCAUCACCUUUUCCUUUUUCUUUUUUUCCCUUUAAUUUCUUAGUUAUGCUAAAUAUAGGGCUAUGCAUGUUUGUAUAUUGGUGAAUUUUAGAGGAGUGUAUAUUGGUGAAUUUUAGAGAAGGUUUUAGAUAUAUUCUUCAACAAAUGCUAGAUUAAAUUGUUUCGUGUACAUCGCCAAUAACAUAUAACCACAUAUCUUUGUAGUUUCAUGUCAUGUUAAUCAAAUCAUUCAUUUAGACGUUUAUAGUGGUAUGAUUCUUUUUAGAUAAUCAAUCAUUAUGCCUUUGUAGAUAUUAUUUAUUUCCAAGAUUCAAUUUCUAAAGUUCAAAACCUAUUCUUUUGAAGUUGAUGCUACUAUAUAUGUGAGAAAUUGAUUUGAAGGCGGAUGAGGAGAAGAAUAUGGGGUUACUCUCAAAUUUGGCUUAUGCUUUGACAAUGGACUAUAUUUUUGCAAAGGAGCUCUUAUGGAAAUAAAGGCUGAGCAACCAAGAAAGCCUAGAGCAGAUCUGUUAGUUUCUCAAUGAUAACUGUUUAGUGCUCAACGAUUUCAACUUUAGAGAUGAGUUGCUUCUCCUUUUAUGAAUUAUGUUUGUAGACCACAUAGAACCACUAUUAUACAGGGAGAAAUGUUGUUGUUUUGUAUUGAUUAUUGCUUAGUUGGUGCUUAAUUUAUAGAAAAGGCUAUGCAUUUGUUUUUCUCUUUAAAAUUUUGAAAUAAAACAAUCAAAGAUUUAUAUAUUACAUAUUUCUCGCGUCUUCUCUCUUUCAGCUUGCCUUC
Molecule: long non-coding RNA, 1399 nt
Filed under: Salvia miltiorrhiza (redroot sage)
Lineage: Eukaryota; Viridiplantae; Streptophyta; Magnoliopsida; Lamiales; Lamiaceae
Description: long non-coding RNA (SMIL_LNC007929)
Source: RNAcentral